Molecule: ribosomal RNA, 401 nt
Filed under: uncultured bacterium
Lineage: Bacteria
Description: bacterial SSU rRNA
Rfam family: Bacterial small subunit ribosomal RNA
Source: RNAcentral
GGGGAAUCUUGCGCAAUGGGCGAAAGCCUGACGCAGCAACGCCGCGUGCGGGAAGAAGGCCUUCGGGUUGUAAACCGCUUUCAGAAGGAACGAAACUGACGGUACUUUCAGAAGAAGGUGCGGCCAACUACGUGCCAGCAGCCGCGGUGACACGUAGGCACCAAGCGUUGUCCGGAUUUAUUGGGCGUAAAGAGCUCGUAGGCGGUUCAGUAAGUCGGGUGUGAAACCUUUGGGCUUAACCCAAAGCGUGCACUCGAUACUGCUGUGACUGGAGUUCGGUAGGGGAGCGGGGAAUUCCUAGUGUAGCGGUGAAAUGCGCAGAUAUUAGGAGGAACACCGGUGGCGAAGGCGCCGCUCUGGGCCGAUACUGACGCUGAGGAGCGAAAGCGUGGGUAGCAAAC